RNAcentral lists this RNase P RNA (379 nucleotides) under Desulfurellaceae bacterium. Its description in RNAcentral is "RNase P RNA component class A". It matches the Rfam family "Bacterial RNase P class A". Rfam says of the family: Ribonuclease P (RNase P) is a ubiquitous endoribonuclease, found in archaea, bacteria and eukarya as well as chloroplasts and mitochondria. Its best characterised activity is the generation of mature 5'-ends of tRNAs by cleaving the 5'-leader elements of precursor-tRNAs. The record is from RNAcentral. Lineage: Bacteria; Pseudomonadati; Campylobacterota; Desulfurellia; Desulfurellales; Desulfurellaceae.
GGAGGAGAUUAAACGGUCGCGGUCCUGUACAGCAGGAGCGAGGAAAGUCCGGACUCCGUGGGGCAGGGUGGCUGCUAAUGACAGCCUGCCGUAAGGCUAGGGAAAGUGCCACAGAAAAGAGACCGCCAGCAAUUGCGCUGGUAAGGGUGAAAAGGUGAGGUAAGAGCUCACCAAUUCCUUGAGAGAUCAAGGACGCUGGGUAAACCCCACCUGGAGCAAGAUCAAAUAAGAGGAGCCCGUUCUACGGGCAAGAGUCGCCCCACUCUCCCUCUGGGUUCGAUCGCUCGAGCGUAUCGGUAACGAUACGCCUAGAGGAAUGACCGUUCCCCUUCCUUAUUAGGGAAGGGCACAGAAUCCGGCUUACCGAUCUCCUCCCCUU